RNAcentral lists this ribosomal RNA (491 nucleotides) under uncultured bacterium. RNAcentral's name for it is "partial 16S ribosomal RNA". It matches the Rfam family "Bacterial small subunit ribosomal RNA", at positions 29 to 506 of the family's 1533-position model. The record is from RNAcentral.
AGUGAACGCUGGCGGUAGGCCUAACACAUGCAAGUCGAACGGCAGCACAGUAAGAGCUUGCUCUUACGGGUGGCGAGUGGCGGACGGGUGAGGAAUACAUCGGAAUCUACUUUUUCGUGGGGGAUAACGUAGGGAAACUUACGCUAAUACCGCAUACGACCUACGGGUGAAAGCAGGGGAUCUUCGGACCUUGCGCGAUUGAAUGAGCCGAUGUCGGAUUAGCUAGUUGGCGGGGUAAAGGCCCACCAAGGCGACGAUCCGUAGCUGGUCGGAGAGGAUGAUCAGCCACACUGGAACUGAGACACGGUCCAGACUCCUACGGGAGGCAGCAGUGGGGAAUAUUGGACAAUGGGCGCAAGCCUGAUCCAGCCAUACCGCGUGGGUGAAGAAGGCCUUCGGGUUGUAAAGCCCUUUUGUUGGGAAAGAAAAGCAGCAGGUUUAUACCCCGCUGUUCUGACGGUACCCAAAGAAUAAGCACCGGCUGACUUCGU